RNAcentral lists this ribosomal RNA (253 nucleotides) under uncultured bacterium. Its description in RNAcentral is "partial 16S ribosomal RNA". It matches the Rfam family "Bacterial small subunit ribosomal RNA", at positions 524 to 776 of the family's 1533-position model. The record is from RNAcentral.
GACGAACCGAGCGAACGUUGUUCGGAAUCACUGGGCUUAAAGAGCGCGCAGGCGGUCGGAUCAGUCGAAUGUGAAAGCCCCCGGCUCAACUGGGGAGGGUCAUUCGAUACUGUCCGACUCGAAGGCAGGAGAGGGAAGCGGAAUUCCCGGUGUAGUGGUGAAAUGCGUAGAUAUCAGGAGGAACACCAAUGGCGAAGGCAGCUCGCUGGGACGGUACUGACGCUGAGACGCGAAAGCGUGGGGAGCAAACAGG